RNAcentral lists this small RNA (117 nucleotides) under Epilithonimonas pallida. Its description in RNAcentral is "Flavo-1 RNA". It matches the Rfam family "Flavo-1 RNA". Lineage: Bacteria; Pseudomonadati; Bacteroidota; Flavobacteriia; Flavobacteriales; Weeksellaceae. The record is from RNAcentral.
CCAUAGCCCCGAUAGGAACGGCAUCCUUUUUUGUUAUUGCGAUUGUCAAAAAUUUCAACAGAAUGCUUCACGUUGUUCGCAAUGACAAAAAAGAUAUAGUGGAUAGCGGGAUUGAGC